CCCAAACGACUCGCCCGGCUUGAUCGGCCGACCGCCGAUUUCCUCGAUCAUGCAGACAUAACCUCGUUGGUGGCACCAGGCCUCGCAGACAUCGGCCGGAUUGAGCGUCAUACCCGCCAGCCACGGGCCUACCGUCCCGGAUUUCGGGUCGCGGAUUCGGUAGGCGCGAAUCAUGCGCUUCGGCAAUUUGAUCUCGUCACGGACGUACAAGAACCGCUCGUCCGGCGCGAAAUCCGUGGUGAACUCUUUGGCGGGGAUACGCCCGUGGUAACUCAAGUAGACUUCGCUGAACGUAUCGCCGCCCGUGUGCUUGAUGUGGCCCG
This 323-nucleotide unclassified non-coding RNA is filed under the name uncultured fungus. RNAcentral's name for it is "sequence contains ITS1". The record is from RNAcentral. Lineage: Eukaryota; Fungi.